Molecule: ribosomal RNA, 1176 nt
Filed under: uncultured Bacillus sp.
Lineage: Bacteria; Bacillati; Bacillota; Bacilli; Caryophanales; Bacillaceae
Description: bacterial SSU rRNA
Rfam family: Bacterial small subunit ribosomal RNA
Source: RNAcentral
CGGUUUCGGCUGUCACUUACAGAUGGACCCGCGGCGCAUUAGCUAGUUGGUGAGGUAACGGCUCACCAAGGCGACGAUGCGUAGCCGACCUGAGAGGGUGAUCGGCCACACUGGGACUGAGACACGGCCCAGACUCCUACGGGAGGCAGCAGUAGGGAAUCUUCCGCAAUGGACGAAAGUCUGACGGAGCAACGCCGCGUGAGUGAUGAAGGUUUUCGGAUCGUAAAGCUCUGUUGUUAGGGAAGAACAAGUGCAAGAGUAACUGCUUGCACCUUGACGGUACCUAACCAGAAAGCCACGGCUAACUACGUGCCAGCAGCCGCGGUAAUACGUAGGUGGCAAGCGUUGUCCGGAAUUAUUGGGCGUAAAGGGCUCGCAGGCGGUUUCUUAAGUCUGAUGUGAAAGCCCCCGGCUCAACCGGGGAGGGUCAUUGGAAACUGGGAAACUUGAGUGCAGAAGAGGAGAGUGGAAUUCCACGUGUAGCGGUGAAAUGCGUAGAGAUNGUGGAGGAACACCAGNUGGCGAAGGCGACUCUCUGGUCUGUACUGACGCUGAGGAGCGAAAGCGUGGGGAGCGAACAGGAUUAGAUACCCUGGUAGUCCACGCCGUAAACGAUGAGUGCUAAGUGUUAGGGGGUUUCCGCCCCUUAGUGCUGCAGCUAACGCAUUAAGCACUCCGCCUGGGGAGUACNGNGUCGCAAGACUGAAACUCAAAGGAAUUGACGGGGGCCCGCACAAGCGGUGGAGCAUGUGGUUUAAUUCGAAGCAACGCGAAGAACCUUACCAGGUCUUGACAUCCUCUGACAACCCUAGAGAUAGGGCUUUCCCUUCGGGGACAGAGUGACAGGUGGUGCAUGGUUGUCGUCAGCUCGUGUCGUGAGAUGUUGGGUUAAGUCCCGCAACGAGCGCAACCCUUGAUCUUAGUUGCCAGCAUUUAGUUGGGCACUCUAAGGUGACUGCCGGUGACAAACCGGAGGAAGGUGGGGAUGACGUCAAAUCAUCAUGCCCCUUAUGACCUGGGCUGCACACGUGCUACAAUGGACAGAACAAAGGGCUGCGAGACCGCAAGGUUUAACCAAUCCCACAAAUCUGUUCUCAGUUCGGAUCGCAGUCUGCAACUCGACUGCGUGAAGCUGGAAUCGCUAGUAAUCGCGGAUCAGCAUGCCGCGGUGAAUAC